RNAcentral lists this ribosomal RNA (248 nucleotides) under Staphylococcus aureus. RNAcentral's name for it is "partial 23S ribosomal RNA". It matches the Rfam family "Bacterial large subunit ribosomal RNA", at positions 802 to 1049 of the family's 2925-position model. Lineage: Bacteria; Bacillati; Bacillota; Bacilli; Caryophanales; Staphylococcaceae. The record is from RNAcentral.
GGAUGAACUGAGGGUAGCGGAGAAAUUCCAAUCGAACCUGGAGAUAGCUGGUUCUCUCCGAAAUAGCUUUAGGGCUAGCCUCAAGUGAUGAUUAUUGGAGGUAGAGCACUGUUUGGACGAGGGGCCCUCUCGGGUUACCGAAUUCAGACAAACUCCGAAUGCCAAUUAAUUUAACUUGGGAGUCAGAACAUGGGUGAUAAGGUCCGUGUUCGAAAGGGAAACAGCCCAGACCACCAGCUAAGGUCCCA